Molecule: transfer RNA, 62 nt
Filed under: Betatropis formosana
Lineage: Eukaryota; Metazoa; Arthropoda; Insecta; Hemiptera; Achilidae
Description: tRNA-Asn
Source: RNAcentral
UUAACUAAAGCUAAAAAGAAGCAAUUCACUGUUAAUGAAAAGAAUGGAUUAACCUAGUUAAA